Molecule: ribosomal RNA, 529 nt
Filed under: Mecistogaster linearis
Lineage: Eukaryota; Metazoa; Arthropoda; Insecta; Odonata; Coenagrionidae
Description: partial 16S ribosomal RNA
Rfam family: Bacterial large subunit ribosomal RNA
Source: RNAcentral
GGCUUUUUGUUUAUUUAAAAAGUCUGACCUGCCCGGUGAAUAUUUAACGGCCGCGGUAAAUUGACCGUGCAAAGGUAGCAUAAUCAUUAGUCUUUUAAUAGGAGUCUGGUAUGAAAGGUUUAACGAAACAUAGACUGUCUUUGAUAUUAUGUAUUGAAGUUAGCUUUUAAGUUAAAAGGCUUAAAUUUUAUUGAUGGACGAGAAGACCCUAUAGAUUUUUACAUAAUUAAUUAUUAUUAUUUAAUUGAUUAAAUAUGGAUAUAAUUUUUAAUUUUGUUUAGUUGGGGUGACUAUAAAUAUAUAAUUAACUUUUAUAUUUUACAACCAUUGAUUUAUGAAUAUUAGAUCCAUUAUUAUUGAUUAUUAGAUCAAAUUACCUUAGGGAUAACAGCGUAAUCUUCUUUCAGAGUUCAAAUUUACAAGAAGGCUUGCGACCUCGAUGUUGGAUUAAGAUAAUUAUUAGGUGUAGCGGCUUAAUUAAUAGGUCUGUUCGACCUUUAAAUUCUUACAUGAUCUGAGUUCAGACCGG